Olea europaea var. sylvestris is the source of this 2233-nucleotide RNA transcript. It is a transcript of the gene named protein RRNAD1, with no coding region annotated. The transcript has 13 exons. The record is from RefSeq and is a predicted model, not a curated record. Lineage: Eukaryota; Viridiplantae; Streptophyta; Magnoliopsida; Lamiales; Oleaceae.
GUAAGAAAACGGGUCGAGAGGCGAGCCGCCGGGUUCACCUAGUAGACGAUACUAGGAACGGCUGGAACGCCCACUCCAAAUCGCCGGGAAGAGGCCUCCGGUAGCGGCGGGAAAGGCGUCACAGUAUGGAUAGCGGCGGCGAGUUUAAAUACUCUUGCAAGACAGCGAGUGAAACACUUGAAUGGAUUCGUGCAAUCGUAAACUUCCUCAAGCCUUAUCGAUUCUUCUUAGAUGCUCACGUCGUCAAUUUCUUCAAGGAGAGGCUAUGGGUAGCUGUUGAUAGAGAGUGGAUGGAUUGUCUGCGAAAAGAGCCUGUAGAUGAUCUUCUACGGAUUCCUUCUGGUGUAAUCCAGGAUCAUUGGCCUGCUUCACUUAAAGAAUUUGUCCUCACGUUGAGGUCCCUUUCUCUUCCUCGUGAGCAAGCAGAUCUGCAGAAGGUUUUCCCGGGUCUUCAAGUGGCAUCGCUGAAUAAUGUUCUUUCUCAAGGCAUGAAUCAUAAGAAAAAGCACGAAAUUGAAGCCCUUUCUGCUGUUAUCAGCUCUAUUGCUAGUAGAGUUGGAGCCAACACGAUAGUGGAUGUUGGAUCUGGUCAGGUGCGAUACCUCGUGAUUUUUUUGCUGGGGUACCUCGCUCAAGUUCUUUCAUUUGAAUACCAGCUUUCUGUGAUAGCAAUAGAUGCCUCUUCUCAUCAUGGAAGGAUUACUGAUGCACGUGCUGAACGAAUUAAGAAACAUUAUAUGGCCAAGCUUCGUAGAUCUCAAUUAGAAAGUAGAGGUUUGAGCACGCCUAAGACAGUCACAUGCCGAGUGUUGUCCUCUGACACGUUGAAAGCCUUGGGCAGUUCCUUAUUACAAAAAGAUGAUGAGAAGCCUAAUAAUAAUGGAGUGAAUAUUGAUGAAAAGCCUCUUGAAGGAUCCGUUGGAAAUGAACUUACCUCUUCCUUGUAUGCAAAUGGCAAGCCCUUGUUAGUUCUCGCUGGACUCCAUGCCUGUGGAGAUCUUUCGGUGACAAUGCUGAGGACAUUUAUAGAAUGCACUGAUGUUAGAGCAGUGGUUAGCAUCGGUUGUUGUUACAAUUUGCUAUCAGAGGGCAUCGUAGAAGCUGAUACUCAAUGCGGUUUCCCAAUGAGUAAAGGAGUUAAAUCUGCUGGUCUAUUGCUUAAGAAAAAUGCCCGAGAUCUUGCUUGUCAGAGUGCAGAGAGAUGGAGAGGUUUGGGAGAAGCUGCUUGCCUUCAUAAUUUUGAGCUUCAUGCUUUUCGUGCUGCCUUUCAGAUGGUUCUUUUUCAACAUUAUCCAGAAAUAAUAAUAAAAAGCCCUUCAAUAGGGCGUCAAGGAAAGGCUUUACGUCGCCGACAUCACCGUAGGACCCUAGUGUCUGGUGCAGAUAUUGCUGAAUCCUUGUCUCAGAAGAAUUGUGAGAACGAAACAAGUUGGCCUGCCAUUUCUUGUACAGAAAGUGCAGACGCAGAAGAAGGUUCAACCUGUAAUGAUGCUGCCUCAAUUUAUGAGGAUUCUUCUCAUUGUAUUUCUAGAAAUUGUGACACCAAUCUUACUGACAGAUAUUCAAUGUUCGUGAACUUCUGCCGUUCUGGACUACAUCGGCUUGGUCUCCAUAAUUCACAGGAUAUCAAUUUUUCUGGGUUAUGGAAGCAAGCUGAACCAUUUGCUGAACUGAUUGGGCCUUAUUGGACACUUCGGGCUGCUCUAGGACCCGUUUUGGAAACUCUUCUUCUUCUUGAUAGAUUGCUGUUUCUUCAGGAGUCCAGCAAUAUGGUGGAGGCAGUUAUAUUACCCAUUUUUGAUCCAGUAUUAUCUCCAAGAAAUGUGGCUUUAAUAGCGAAGAAACUGUGAAAAAAAUGUCCACAUUCCUGUACGUUGCAAGUGGUGUAGAUUUCACAUUUUCACCGAGAUUGUAAUUUGUGAUAUUGUGAGGAAGCUGUGAGAGGCUUUGGCCCUGCCUAGCUAAGGAUGGAGAAUAGAUAGCAAAAUCAUAGAUUGUUGCUUGAAUGAAGGAGCAGUAAGAACUCCGCUGUGAAGGUGAAGGCUUGGGAAUGGGUCGAGACCAAUGGUUUUAAUGUUUCUGGACUGUACGGUACAUCACAAUUUAAUAUAGGCAAUAUAAAACACAUCCAUGACAAAAUAACACAGAUAAUUACGUACAUAUAUUGUUUGAGAAUUCAAGAAAUAUAUUGAUUACAUGACAAUAGUUUACUGAGACAGAGCACUUGUGCUGU